Bubalus bubalis (water buffalo) is the source of this 2041-nucleotide long non-coding RNA. RefSeq lists it as uncharacterized. The record is from RefSeq and is a predicted model, not a curated record. Lineage: Eukaryota; Metazoa; Chordata; Mammalia; Artiodactyla; Bovidae. The transcript is spliced from 2 exons.
CGGCCGUGGCGGGGUGGAGUUCUGAGAUUGGGACUGUCACUCAAAUUCAGCCAAUGCAGAGAAAAUUGCAGUUUCUCCCAACGUUGCGGUUCUGUGACCCCAGCCUUGGUGAAAACCCAAAUGGGUUUCCGCAGGACUGACUGCAGAUAACAAGAAAGCUUCGCUGAUAAGCAUCAGAGACGGUGUUCCAGUAAAGGCUGGUGGAGUAAGAAGGAAACAAAGCAAGAUGGUGGGUAUUGGGUUUUACCUCUAGAAUAAUGAGGCUGGGACAGUCCCAUAGUUAUUUAGUCUAUGAAGGGGAAGUCUAUAGUUAGCAGGUACUUUAGUUCUCUAUAUUGAUGUUUCACCUUACCCACCUCACUGUGUCCACACUGUGUCCACUUUGUCCACAAUCUACAAACAAUGUAAUUAUUACUGACAUUCGGUACUCAUUUCAUUGGCUCAUUUUACCAUUCUCUUUAAGUGUUUAAGAGAAUAUCAAGGAGUAGACUGCCUUGUCCUCUUCAUGAAUUAAACACAAAGAUUUAGUGUUUAAUGUAGAAUAUCCAGUUGGCUGUAGUCUUAAAAUGUAUAUUCUUUACUGACUUAAGAAAUGAUCCUUAGCUUCCUUAUCUAGUGAGAGGCUCUGUCCUGGCUGCUAACCACAGUAAUGGCUCUUACAUUCCCUCAAACGCAUUUUAGACUGUAAUUAUGGUUAUGAUUGCUCUCCACUGACCUAUUUUUGAGAUAAAUUAUGAUAGCAAACAUCCCAGUAAUAAGCAGAAUUACAUUUUUAGAGUAAGAGUUACUUGUUCACGAUAUAUUAUUCUUUUAAAAUAUAUGUGUGAGUGUACUCUAAUUUUACUAUUCUAUGUCUAUAUUCAGGCAUAUAGUGGGCUUGGAGGGUCCUUUGUGUGUGUUACAGUUGAUACUUAAUGGUCUCAGUCUUUAUUACAUAUCUAACACUUGCCUGUGUUGAGCACCUAAUAUGUGCUAGCACCAUGUAGGUCACUGGAAACACAAUAAUGAGUAAAAAUGGUCACGACCUCUGACCCACAAAUAAAUAUAAAAUUACCGACAUGAGAGUCACAUCAAGAAUAGUACAGGAUACUUGACUUGUGGGCCUCACGCUCUGUCCUCCUCACCCUCACCCUGUUCUCAUCUCACUGGAUGCUCAUAUCCCUUCCAUUACCAAGCUCACCAACCCCAGGGCAACUGUGAAUUCUGUUCUCUCAGGCCAAAAUGCUUGCCCUUCCCUUAUUUCCUCUGAUUAGCAAUUACCUGUCCCUCUUCUCAGAGCUCAGUAUUCUUAUUUCAGAGAGGUCUUUUCUAUCCACCUCUCCAGACUAAAUUUGCUCUCAAUGAUUUUUUUUUCUCUUAAUUGUAUUCUCGGCAGCUGUUCACAUGACCCUGUCCACUCUUCCUUCUGAGUAUACUAUUGUUUAGUAAAUUCUCAAUUUAUUUAAAAAAAUGUUACUUGCAUUCUCUAGGUAUAAUAGUACUGAGCAUUUUUUCUGUCAUGGAGACUGUAAACAUUUAUAAUCAUCCUAAAUUUGUCUUAUUUUUUCAGGAUGACUUAGAGAGCUAAAGCUUAGGCAGUUACCCUCAAGGAGAAGGAAGAGGAGAGCAUUCUUUUAAAAUUCUUUCGCCUUAGUCAUAAGGGACAUGGCUCCCUUAAGCUUUGUGUUAAUAGUGCAGUAAUGUAUCUCACCUUUCUUUAGAUCAUAAGCUCAUAAGUAUGCUUUUCUUAGGUUCUAUGUUAAUAAUUUUAACAAUCUAUUUUGCCUGGGAACCUGCUUCUCAAGCAACACCAUAUCUCAUCCGGAACCUGUUCCUUCUGGCUCAUCUCACUGUACUAAUGUUAUCUCAGGAUGCAUGCCUUGGGAAAGGGUCUGGUAGAAAUUUUACAAACUUGAGGUAGUCUUUAUAUCUAUUCUCAGCAGCCAGCUGAAAGGUAUAUAAAACCCUGCUAAAAUUCAUGAUGUGGGCACUCUUCUGUCCUUUGCAGUGUCUUUGCUGGAAGCUUUCUCUAUCACUGUUACUUUAAUAAACUUUGCUACAC